This 435-nucleotide ribosomal RNA is filed under the name uncultured bacterium. RNAcentral's name for it is "bacterial SSU rRNA". It matches the Rfam family "Bacterial small subunit ribosomal RNA", at positions 355 to 787 of the family's 1533-position model. The record is from RNAcentral.
UGAGGAAUAUUGGUCAAUGGGCGGGAGCCUGAACCAGCCAAGCCGCGUGAGGGAAGAAGGCCCUAUGGGUCGUAAACCUCUUUUGUCAGGGAACAAAAGCGAGUAUGUAUACUGGUCUGAGUGUACCUGAAGAAAAAAGGCAUCGGCCAACUCCGUGCCAGCAGCCGCGGUAAUACGGAGGAUGCGAGCGUUAUCCGGAUUUAUUGGGUUUAAAGGGUGCGUAGGCGGCGGUGCAAGUCAGCGGUAAAAGCCCGGGGGCCUCAACCCCGGCGAGCCGUUGAAACUGCAGUGCUAGAGAAGGCGAGAGGUACGCGGAAUGCGCAGUGUAGCGGUGAAAUGCUUAGAUAUUGCGCAGAACUCCGAUUGCGAAGGCAGCGUACUGGCGCCUGACUGACGCUGAGGCACGAAAGCGUGGGGAUCGAACAGAUAGAUACC